AACGCUAUCAUCGCCGCUCACACCUGCAAUGCCUUCACCAUAGCGGCAACCAUGGAGUAGCGGUCCCCUUCCCCGUGGGACCAGCACAAGUACCAGCAUUCGUCGAACGUCAAGAUUAAUCAGAAGCGGGGAGCUUUAUCAGUCGUACUUUGUUGCGCAAAUCUCCUCUGUCCAGCACACUGUUUGAUCGAGUAUUUCUUGACAGGGAGUUGAAGAACAAGGGGCAGCUCUGACCCUCGUGAUCAACCCCAGCCAUGUAUUGGACGCCUGCUACUAACUAUUUGUAUGGUAUGUAGGGUUCUUUACAACGAGUAUGCUGUAUAUACGACAUGCCUAUCUUUAACUGUAGUCCCAUCUGGCUAUCCAUGCUUUGCA
RNAcentral lists this long non-coding RNA (375 nucleotides) under Setaria italica (foxtail millet). Its description in RNAcentral is "long non-coding RNA (SITA_LNC007162)". Lineage: Eukaryota; Viridiplantae; Streptophyta; Magnoliopsida; Poales; Poaceae. The record is from RNAcentral.